CUCCCGCAGCCGGCGCCGCCCCUCCCCCCUUGGCCGCCCCUCCCCCCCCGGGGGCGCUGGGGCAGCUCCGGGGGUACCUGGGCCAGGUGGGCUCGGCCGCGGGGACGCUCCUGGAGGGGCUGGACCUGCCCUCGGCCCCGCGCCGCAUCCGGACGGCGUACGAGCAGGGCGUGACGGCGGCGGUGACGUACGGCGGGAUCCUCACGGACCAGCUCUACCACUGGUGGCAGGGCGAGCAGUAACCCCAAAAACCCC
This is a long non-coding RNA of Passer montanus (Eurasian tree sparrow), 255 nucleotides long. RefSeq lists it as uncharacterized. The record is from RefSeq and is a predicted model, not a curated record. Lineage: Eukaryota; Metazoa; Chordata; Aves; Passeriformes; Passeridae. The transcript is spliced from 2 exons.